UUAUAAGAGACAGCAGUAGCCACGGGAAUACAGAGGGUGCGAGCGUUAAUCGGAUUUACUGGGCGUAAAGCGUGCGUAGGCGGCUUUUUAAGUCGGAUGUGAAAUCCCUGAGCUUAACUUAGGAAUUGCAUUCGAUACUGGGAAGCUAGAGUAUGGGAGAGGAUGGUAGAAUUCCAGGUGUAGCGGUGAAAUGCGUAGAGAUCUGGAGGAAUACCGAUGGCGAAGGCAGCCAUCUGGCCUAAUACUGACGCUGAGGUACGAAAGCAUGGGGAGCAAACAGGAUUAGAUACCCCCGUAGUCCCUGUCUCUUAUAC
Molecule: ribosomal RNA, 314 nt
Filed under: uncultured bacterium
Lineage: Bacteria
Description: partial 16S ribosomal RNA
Rfam family: Bacterial small subunit ribosomal RNA
Source: RNAcentral